This 332-nucleotide ribosomal RNA is filed under the name Sylvilagus floridanus (eastern cottontail). RNAcentral's name for it is "partial 12S ribosomal RNA". It matches the Rfam family "Bacterial small subunit ribosomal RNA", at positions 798 to 1290 of the family's 1533-position model. The record is from RNAcentral. Lineage: Eukaryota; Metazoa; Chordata; Mammalia; Lagomorpha; Leporidae.
AGCCCUAAACUUAAUAAUUCCAUAACAAAAUUACUCGCCAGAGAACUACAAGCCAGAGCUUAAAACUCAAAGGACUUGGCGGUGCUUUAUACCCACCUAGAGGAGCCUGUUCUAUAAUCGAUAAACCCCGAUAAACCUUACCACUCUUUGCCAACUCAGCCUAUAUACCGCCAUCUUCAGCGAACCCUAAAAAGGAACAAAAGUAAGCUCAAUUAUCCCCAUAAAAACGUUAGGUCAAGGUGUAGCCCAUAGAGUGGAAAGUAAUGGGCUACAUUUUCUACUUCAGAACAUACGAAAGCCCUUAUGAAAUUCUAAGAGCCAAAGGAGGAUUU